RNAcentral lists this ribosomal RNA (683 nucleotides) under uncultured bacterium. RNAcentral describes it as "bacterial SSU rRNA". It matches the Rfam family "Bacterial small subunit ribosomal RNA", at positions 195 to 883 of the family's 1533-position model. The record is from RNAcentral.
UGUUGAACAAAGAUUUAUCGGUAUGAGAUGGCGAUGCGUCCCAUUAGCUUGUUGGCGGGGUAACGCCCACCAAGGCAUCGAUGGGUAGGGGUUCUGAGAGGAAGGUCCCCCACAUUGGAACUGAGACACGGUCCAAACUCCUACGGGAGGCAGCAGUGAGGAAUAUUGGUCAAUGGGCGGAAGUCUGAACCAGCCAAGUAGCGUGCAGGAUGACGGCCCUCCGGGUUGUAAACUGCUUUUAGUUGGGAAUAAAACGGGGCUCGUGAGCCCUUUGCAUGUACCAUCAGAAAAAGGACCGGCUAAUUCCGUGCCAGCAGCCGCGGUAAUACGGAAGGUCCGGGCGUUAUCCGGAUUUAUUGGGUUUAAAGGGAGCGCAGGCGGACCUUUAAGUCAGCUGUGAAAUACGGCGGCUCAACCGUCGAACUGCAGUUGAUACUGGAGGUCUUGAGUGCACACAGGGAUGCUGGAAUUCAUGGUGUAGCGGUGAAAUGCUCAGAUAUCAUGAAGAACUCCGAUCGCGAAGGCAGGCAUCCGGGGUGCAACUGACGCUGAGGCUCGAAAGUGCGGGUAUCAAACAGGAUUAGAUACCCUGGUAGUCCGCACAGUAAACGAUGAAUACUCGCGGUUUGCGAUACAAUGUAAGCCGCCAAGCGAAAGCGUUAAGUAUUCCACCUGGGGAGUAC